CCUACGGGGGGCAGCAGUGGGGAAUAUUGGGCAAUGGGCGCAAGCCUGACCCAGCAACGCCGCGUGAAGGAAGAAGGCUUUCGGGUUGUAAACUUCUUUUCUCAGGGACGAAGCAAGUGACGGUACCUGAGGAAUAAGCCACGGCUAACUACGUGCCAGCAGCCGCGGUACUACGUAGGUGGCGAGCGUUAUCCGGAUUUACUGGGGGUAAAGGGCGGGUAGGCGGGUCUGCAAGUCAGAUGUGAAAACCACGGGCUCAACCUGUGGCCUGCAUUGGAAACUGUAGUUCUUGAGUACUGGAGAGGCAGACGGAAUUCCUAGUGUAGCGGUGAAAUGCGUAGAUAUUAGGAGGAACACCAGUGGCGAAGGCGGUCUGCUGGACAGCAACUGACGCUGAGGCGCGAAAGCGUGGGGAGCAAACAGGAUUAGAUACCCCUGUAGUC
RNAcentral lists this ribosomal RNA (443 nucleotides) under uncultured bacterium. RNAcentral describes it as "partial 16S ribosomal RNA". It matches the Rfam family "Bacterial small subunit ribosomal RNA", at positions 338 to 795 of the family's 1533-position model. The record is from RNAcentral.